UCAACCUGAGAGUUUGAUCCUGGCUCAGAGCGAACGCUGGCGGCAGGCCUAAUACAUGCAAGUCGAGCGCCCUUUCGGGGGAGCGGCGGACGGGUGAGUAACGCGUGGGAACGUGCCCUAUGGUGCGGAACAACUGAGGGAAACUUCAGCUAAUACCGCAUGAGCGCUACGGCGGAAAGAUUUAUCGCCAUAGGAGCGGCCCGCGUUGGAUUAGCUAGUUGGUGGGGUAAUGGCUCACCAAGGCUACGAUCCAUAGCUGGUCUGAGAGGAUGAUCAGCCACACUGGGACUGAGACACGGCCCAGACUCCUACGGGA
This 316-nucleotide ribosomal RNA is filed under the name Phenylobacterium sp. RNAcentral's name for it is "bacterial SSU rRNA". It matches the Rfam family "Bacterial small subunit ribosomal RNA", at positions 1 to 346 of the family's 1533-position model. Lineage: Bacteria; Pseudomonadati; Pseudomonadota; Alphaproteobacteria; Caulobacterales; Caulobacteraceae. The record is from RNAcentral.